CAGAACCUGUUACCCAAGGAAUUCCCUAAAGAAUUAGAAGUGUGUCUCACCAACCAGCCAAGAUGAACAUGGUGAAAAGGAUCAUGGGGCGGCCAAGGCAGGAGGAGUGCAGCCCACAAGACAACGCCUUAGGACUGAUGCACCUCCGCCGGCUCUUCACGGAGUUGUGCCAUCCUCCCCGGCACAUGACUCAGAAGGAACAAGAAGAGAAACUGUAUAUGAUGCUGCCAGUGUUUAACAGGGUUUUUGGAAAUGCUCCGCCAAAUACAAUGACAGAAAAAUUUUCUGAUCUUCUGCAGUUCACAACACAAGUCUCACGACUAAUGGUGACAGAAAUUCGAAGGAGAGCAUCAAACAAAUCCACAGAGGCUGCAAGUCGGGCCAUAGUUCAGUUCCUGGAGAUCAAUCAGAGUGAAGAAGCCAGUAGAGGCUGGAUGCUUCUGACGACAAUUAAUUUGUUAGCUUCCUCUGGUCAGAAAACCGUGGACUGCAUGACAACAAUGUCAGUGCCUUCCACCCUGGUUAAAUGUUUAUAUCUGUUUUUUGACCUUCCACAUGUGCCUGAGGCAGUUGGAGGUGCACAGAAUGAGCUACCUCUAGCAGAACGUCGAGGACUACUCCAGAAAGUUUUUGUACAGAUCUUAGUGAAACUGUGCAGUUUUGUUUCCCCUGCGGAGGAGCUGGCUCAGAAAGAUGAUCUCCAGCUUCUAUUCAGUGCAAUAACCUCUUGGUGCCCUCCCUAUAACCUGCCUUGGAGAAAGAGUGCUGGAGAAGUCCUCAUGACCAUAUCUCGUCAUGGUCUUAGUGUCAAUGUAGUGAAGUAUAUUCAUGAGAAAGAGUGUUUAUCUACAUGUGUUCAGAAUAUGCAGCAAUCAGAUGACUUGUCUCCCCUAGAAAUUGUCGAAAUGUUUGCUGGGCUUUCUUGUUUCCUCAAAGAUUCCAGCGAUGUUUCCCAAACACUUCUGGAUGAUUUUCGGAUAUGGCAAGGAUAUAAUUUUCUUUGUGAUCUCUUGCUUAGAUUGGAACAAGCAAAAGAGGCAGAAUCCAAAGAUGCCUUGAAAGAUCUGGUUAAUCUGAUAACUUCCCUAACAACAUAUGGUGUCAGUGAACUAAAACCAGCUGGUAUUACCACAGGGGCACCCUUUUUAUUGCCUGGAUUUGCAGUACCUCAGCCUGCAGGCAAAGGUCACAGUGUGAGGAACGUCCAGGCCUUUGCAGUUCUUCAGAAUGCAUUUUUAAAAGCAAAAACCAGCUUCCUUGCCCAAAUCAUCCUUGAUGCUAUCACAAAUAUUUACAUGGCCGACAGUGCCAAUUACUUCAUCCUAGAGUCACAGCACACAUUGUCACAGUUUGCAGAGAAGAUUUCUAAACUCCCAGAAGUACAAAACAAAUACUUUGAGAUGCUGGAGUUUGUUGUUUUUAGCUUAAAUUAUAUACCUUGUAAAGAACUUAUUAGUGUCAGUAUCCUCUUAAAAUCUAGCUCUUCUUAUCACUGUAGCAUUAUUGCAAUGAAAACACUUCUUAAGUUUACAAGACAUGACUACAUAUUUAAAGAUGUGUUCAGGGAGGUUGGCCUUUUGGAGGUCAUGGUAAACCUUUUGCAUAAAUAUGCUGCCCUGUUGAAGGAUCCAACUCAGGCACUAAAUGAACAAGGGGACUCAAGAAAUAAUAGUUCAGUCGAAGACCAAAAACACCUGGCUUUAUUGGUUAUGGAGACCUUGACAGUGCUUCUUCAAGGAUCAAACACAAAUGCAGGAAUUUUUCGAGAAUUUGGAGGUGCAAGAUGUGCACAUAAUAUAGUAAAGUACCCUCAAUGCCGGCAGCAUGCCCUGAUGACUAUCCAGCAGCUGGUGCUCUCCCCAAAUGGGGACGAUGACAUGGGCACUCUCCUGGGGCUAAUGCAUUCAGCCCCACCGACGGAAUUGCAGUUGAAGACUGAUAUUUUAAGGGCCCUCCUGUCGGUCCUUCGAGAAAGCCAUCGUUCAAGAACAGUUUUUAGGAAAGUUGGAGGAUUUGUGUACAUUACAUCCUUGCUCGUUGCUAUGGAAAGAUCUUUGAGCUGUCCACCCAAGAAUGGCUGGGAGAAAGUGAACCAGAAUCAAGUGUUUGAACUUCUUCACACUGUGUUCUGCACGUUGACUGCAGCAAUGCGCUAUGAGCCAGCCAACUCUCAUUUCUUCAAAACAGAGAUUCAGUAUGAGAAGUUGGCAGAUGCUGUUCGAUUUCUUGGCUGCUUCUCAGACCUAAGAAAAAUAAGCGCCAUGAAUGUCUUCCCCUCAAAUACACAGCCAUUUCAGAGACUUUUAGAGGAAGAUGUAGUCUCAAUAGAAUCAGUGUCACCCACGUUACGGCACUGCAGUAAACUUUUUAUUUAUCUUUACAAAGUAGCCACAGAUUCUUUUGACAGGUAUGGCUCUGCUCUGUCCUCUGAAUUAAAGGGUGUAUACUAAGCAUGACUUCAACAUUAAGACUUGAAUUAUGAGUUAAUCCAAAAGAAUAUGAAAACAGAUGACUCUUCUCCUGUUUGUUUGAGGUGUAUCACUUUAUUUUUGAAUAUUACUCUUGCUCUGGUAUUGUUUUUUUUUUUUUUUUUAGCAUGGAAGCCUGUGUACUAUUUGUAAAUUCAGGUUCAAUUAGUUCUCAUUGCAGUUAUUGGAACAGUUUCUAUGAAGUUUCCUUUAAUGAUAGUGUUUACUAUUGUCUUUUUUCUUUUUAGCCUCAAAAGGUGCAUCUGGACUUAUUGAUAUGUGUUAUCAACAGAACAUCAUUAUGAUUAUUCUUAUUUCCAGACACAUACUCCAUCAUUCUCCACAUAUCGUACGCCUCAAAAAAUGAUAAAGUUCCCAAAGAGGGGUGUCAGUGUCUUGAACCGUCAAGUUCGAGAGGCCAUCAGACUCAGUAUUUACUCAUUCCUUCAUGAAAUAAGUACUUAACAAAAACCUGCUGCAUGCCAAGUCACUGUGCUAGGCAUUGAGGAUUCAGCUCUACACAGGGCUGUCUUGGUCCUUGCUAUCUUUUAGCUAAAAUAUAGACACAUAAAUAAACAAUUACAUAUAGUGUGACAAAUUCUACAAUGGGGGAAUCCAGGGUUCUCAGGGAGAUUGUAGGAGAGCCACUUCAUCUAGAUCACUUAUUUUCAGUGCUUCAACUGUGUUUUCAAUGAAGAUGUCACUUUGAAAAUAAUACUUCUAAUUUAUGCCCCAAGCGUUAUUGCUUUUAACUUACCAUAGUUUUAAUACAUAAAAUGAAUGAACUGCCCUCAUCAAUAGACCAUGUAACUCCAUUGGCUAGAGCUUGUAAUAGGUUUUGUGUCCUUUUCUGUGGAAUAUCUGCUUUGAAGUAUCAACUGAGAUAUUUCCAGCUUCUUAACAAGAUUUCUUAGUCCUCAGUAUUUACAUUUAAAAAUCCAAACAACUAUGACAACAAUUGU
This 3430-nucleotide small RNA is filed under the name Pongo abelii (Sumatran orangutan). RNAcentral describes it as "retained intron". The record is from RNAcentral. Lineage: Eukaryota; Metazoa; Chordata; Mammalia; Primates; Hominidae.